UACGUAGGGACCAAGCGUUGUUCGGAUUUACUGGGCGUAAAGGGCGCGUAGGCGGCGCGGUAAGUCACGUGUGAAAUCCCCCGGCUCAACCGGGGAAUUGCGCGUGAUACUGGCGGACUCGAGGCGGGUAGGGGUGAGCGGAACUCCAGGUGGAGCGGUGAAAUGCGUAGAUAUCUGGAGGAACACCGGUGGCGAAAGCGGCUCACUGGACCUGAUCUGACACUGAGGUGCGAAAGCCAGGGGAGCAAACGGG
RNAcentral lists this ribosomal RNA (253 nucleotides) under uncultured bacterium. RNAcentral's name for it is "partial 16S ribosomal RNA". It matches the Rfam family "Bacterial small subunit ribosomal RNA", at positions 524 to 776 of the family's 1533-position model. The record is from RNAcentral.